RNAcentral lists this ribosomal RNA (855 nucleotides) under Corinectria fuckeliana. Its description in RNAcentral is "LSU rRNA". It matches the Rfam family "Eukaryotic large subunit ribosomal RNA", at positions 75 to 963 of the family's 3401-position model. Lineage: Eukaryota; Fungi; Ascomycota; Sordariomycetes; Hypocreales; Nectriaceae. The record is from RNAcentral.
UUGCCUAGUAACGGCGAGUGAAGCGGCAACAGCUCAAAUUUGAAAUCUGGCCCCCGGGUCCGAGUUGUAAUUUGUAGAGGAUGCUUUUGGUGCGGUACCUUCCGAGUUCCCUGGAACGGGACGCCAUAGAGGGUGAGAGCCCCGUCUGGUUGGACGCCAAUCCUUUGUAAAGCUCCUUCGACGAGUCGAGUAGUUUGGGAAUGCUGCUCUAAAUGGGAGGUAUAUGUCUUCUAAAGCUAAAUAUUGGCCAGAGACCGAUAGCGCACAAGUAGAGUGAUCGAAAGAUGAAAAGCACUUUGAAAAGAGAGUUAAAAAGUACGUGAAAUUGUUGAAAGGGAAGCGCUCAUGACCAGACUUGGGCCCGGUUGAUCAUCCAGGGUUCUCCCUGGUGCACUCUUCCGGCCCAGGCCAGCAUCAGUUCGCUGUGGGGGAUAAAGGCUUCGGGAAUGUGGCUCCUCCGGGAGUGUUAUAGCCCGCUGCGUAAUACCCUGUGGCGGACUGAGGUUCGCGCAUCUGCAAGGAUGCUGGCGUAAUGGUCAUCAGCGACCCGUCUUGAAACACGGACCAAGGAGUCGUCUUCGUAUGCGAGUGUUCGGGUGUUAAACCCCUACGCGGAAUGAAAGUGAACGCAGGUGAGAGCUUCGGCGCAUCAUCGACCGAUCCUGAUGUUCUCGGAUGGAUUUGAGUAAGAGCAUACGGGGCCGGACCCGAAAGAAGGUGAACUAUGCCUGUAUAGGGUGAAGCCAGAGGAAACUCUGGUGGAGGCUCGCAGCGGUUCUGACGUGCAAAUCGAUCGUCAAUAUGGGCAUGGGGGCGAAGACUAAUCGAAACCUUCCUAGUAGCUGGGUUCGCGAG